UUUUGAAGAUCGCUCUCAUAUAAUAUAUAAGAAUUUGUAUUCUAGAAAUCGUACCUUGAAAAUUCGAGUUGGCUUUUUCCGCUGAAGUGAUUUAGGCUCCUAGAUCACGAUCCGCCACCACCACUCCUGUUAGAUCACGAUCCGUCACCACCACGCUUGUUAGAUCACGAACUGUCACCAAUGAUCUUCCAGGUUAUGACUCAGGUUCGAUCUGCACUUGACGUGUGAGCGCCUUUAUCACUACCAAAGCAACUAGCACGAGAAAAUUUUUCUCUCAACAAUAGAGAGAAAAAUCUUAUUCUCUGAUCUGUAUAAAGUGGCUUCGCUUUUUUCUUUAGAGAAAAUAAGCCUUUUAUAUCACCCUUUAGUGAAAACCCUAGGCUCCAAAUAAUGCCCUAAAUAAAACUCACGUUAUUUUCUUUUUCAAUAGGGGACCCACCUUGUAAAAUAACAUAAGGCCCCUUAUACAAAAGCUAAUUAAAUGGAGCCUCCCAUUAAAUGAUAUAUUUAGGCUUUUGACCCAAAUAGCUAGUUAUCUUACUUAUUAGUCCAGUAGUGGUGCAGUCAAUUAAAUGAGCUAACCCGGGGAUCAUUUGGGAACAUACAAUAGUGGCUACAAUAAUUAGGCCUGUAAUUAAACUAGCCCAAUUAUUUAAUUCCAAAUCUACUCCACUAAACGAUUGGAACUGACUUCCAUAAUUGUAUGCUCGAAUAAUAAUUCGUCCCAAGCCACAUUGAUUUCUUUACUGCACAAUCCUUUGUACCACAUCGUUAAUUAAAUUGAUAUCUCAACUGUCCAAUCAAUUUAAUAACAUCUUAUUCCUUGAUCUUUACUGGUUUUUUCUAAUGAUCAUUUUCAACAUACUAAAUAUGUUGACACACUCUGGCCAGAGAAUUCUAUGAUCAAGUGCCGAAAACCCAUCAAGAGAUGUGUUGUACAAAUUCUAUAUUGUUAAUCCAUAACUUCAAUACUCAUAAUUGCUCCCACCAAGAUACCGGGUAAUCUUGACCACAAGGAUGUGUCGUGCCCAUUGGUAACUCAAAUGGAAUAACAAUUACAAUCAUGAAAUCAUAAUUAACUCAAGAUUAAGAUUACAGUAAAAUCAACGCCUAUGAGAUUUAAUAAGUCUGACAGUUAUUACAAAGUUAAUUAAAUCUCAUAUGUGAUCCUGUUCAAUGUAGUCGUACUACAUCAAUAAAUUUAUACAUGAUUAAGACAAAUCAUUCAAUGAAUUUAUUACAGUCUAUACCUAAAUAAAGUGCCCAAUUUUAUUUAUCAACUGCGAACUAAAUUUAUUUAAUCAUAAGAUAACUUGUAUUUAUGUCUUCUGUGAAUCCACAUGGUGAUCACAUAAAUAAUAUAAUAUGAUUAAAUGGACUUUAAUACAAGUAUUAAUGCAAUUAAGAUAUUUGAAUAAAAUACCUCAUUUAUUUUAUUAAUCAGAAAAAUAGUUUAUUACAAUUAAAUAAACACAUAUGCUUUUAAAGAGCAUAUUUUCCCAAUAAUUAAAUGUAUGGCCAAGAUCAAAUUUACUCUUAGCGUUCCUUAUUUAAACAGAAGAACACAUCGCGUUGGCUCCUAACUAACUAAGUUUAACGUAGAACAAAUGGAGUUAAAUCCCCGUUAUAUAUUUCCUUUACACAUUCUGAUCUUCGAACAAUUUUUUAUUCUUGAAAAACUAUUCAGAAAUUCAUGAUUUAACAAUAAAGUUCUCAAAUCCUGGAAGAAUUUGCGAGUCAAUAAUUUUCAGUUGACAAAUUGAAUUAAAUCCAAACGAUUGAUCAGAUCUCAUGCCUCCUAACAAAGAAUAAUACUCCACGUGCACCAUACAACCAAUGUAUUUAACUUAUGCUGCGUUUACUAAACGGGAAUCGGAAUGGACUGAAAUCGGAAUGGAUAAGAAUGGAAAUGGACUGGAAUCAGAAUGGAGAAUAGGAAUCUGAAUAAGUAAAUUGAACUGUAGGAAUCGGAAUCGGAAUGAGCUGGAUUCCAUUAAUGCAUUUACUUUGUCUUCGAAUCAAAAUCAAAAUGAAUUAGAUGGUAACAAAUUACUAAAAAAGUCCUUCCUAUGAUGAUGCAGUUAAUAAUUUAUAAUAAUAAUUAUUAUUGUUACUAUAUUAAUUAAUCAUAUUCAUAUAUUGCUACUGUUUACUUAAUUAUAAUUUAUCAUUAAUAAUAAUAAUAAUAAUAAUAAUAAUAAUAAUAAAAUCAUCAACAAAAUAAUAAUCCAUUUAAAAAUAAUAAUAAUUGGAUUCAUCAUCAUCAACAAAAUAAUCCAUUAAAAAAAAUAACAAUAAUAUUCAAAUCAGAAUCAUCAUCGUCACCAACUACAACGGCAACAACAAAUUAUCAUCGGACCAGAACCAUGGGCAUUGAAGAUGAAAUCACGGCGAAACAGAGACGAAAUGAGAUGGGGAUGAAACUGAGACGGAGACAAAAUCAAGACAGCCUAACAGAUAUGAAACCGGCAACCAGUUGCGGUCCACAGUCGACAGACCAGCGACGACAAAGAUGGUGGAUGAUUAUGGCUGUGAUGGUGAUAGAAGCACCUGUAAUGGCGUUCGACUGGGAGUCGGGUGCAAGAGAGUUUAGGUUUUAGGAUUUUUAGUUUUCAUCAUUUUUUGCUAUUUAUAUUUUUUAUUUGAAGUGAGGGCAUUUUCAAAAUAAUGAAUAAUUAAUGGGGGUAGAAUGGGAAAUUCUAAGACUGGGAGUCUGAUUCCCAAGCCUCCCCUUGGGAAUCAUAUUCCCAUUUCUAAUUCCCAAACUACUGUGGGGCCCACCAAAAUAAAUAUCAUUCCUUCUUUUAUUUUGCCAAGUAAACACGAAUUUCAUUCCAAUUCUGGAUUCCAGAUUCCUAUUACUAAAUCUGGCUAGUAAAUGAAGCCUUAAGGUGGAAGAAAAUGGGGCAAUAGAUAAAUUCUAAGCUGACUACAUUUACAAGUGAUAUUAUUAGAAUGGGUAAAUAUUCGUUUAAUCUCUAUA
RNAcentral lists this long non-coding RNA (2983 nucleotides) under Citrus x clementina. Its description in RNAcentral is "Citrus clementina (C. clementina) long non-coding RNA (CCLE_LNC002817)". Lineage: Eukaryota; Viridiplantae; Streptophyta; Magnoliopsida; Sapindales; Rutaceae. The record is from RNAcentral.